CAGCGGCCGCGGUAAUACGUAGGUGCAAGCGUUAAUCGGAAUUACUGGGCGUAAAGCGUGCGCAGGCGGUUCGGAAAGAAAGUGUGAAAUCCCAGGGCUUAACCUUGGAACUGCACUUUUAACUACCGGCUAGAGUAUGUCAGAGGGGGGUGGAAUUCCGCGUGUAGCAGUGAAAUGCGUAAUAUGCGGAGGAACACCGGUUGCGAAGGCAGCCCCCUGGGAUAAUACUGACGCUCAUGCAACGAAAGCGUGGGGAGCAAACAAGAUUAGAUACCCUGGUAGUCCACGCCCUAAACGAUGUCAACUAGCUGUUGGGGCCUUCGGGCCUUAGUAGCGCACGCUAACGCGUGAAGUUGACCGCCUGGGGAGUACGGUCGCAAGAUUAAAACUCAAAUGAAUUGACGG
RNAcentral lists this ribosomal RNA (405 nucleotides) under beta proteobacterium enrichment culture clone LiUU-16-766. Its description in RNAcentral is "bacterial SSU rRNA". It matches the Rfam family "Bacterial small subunit ribosomal RNA", at positions 509 to 916 of the family's 1533-position model. The record is from RNAcentral. Lineage: Bacteria; Pseudomonadati; Pseudomonadota; Betaproteobacteria.